Molecule: long non-coding RNA, 513 nt
Filed under: Pan troglodytes (chimpanzee)
Lineage: Eukaryota; Metazoa; Chordata; Mammalia; Primates; Hominidae
Description: lincRNA
Source: RNAcentral
GGAGAUGCUAAAUUUGAUCACUUGGUUAAGGUGGUGAAUGCAUGUGAUUUUGACCUGGAGAAGAUUAUUUUUAAAAAUAAAAUAGCCGGGCGCAGUGGCUCACGCCUGUAAUCCCAGCACUUUGGGAGGCCGAGGCGGGCAGAUCACAAGGUAAGGAGAUUGAGACCAUCCUGGCUAACACGAUACAACCUUUCAGUCAGCAUGAGUCCCAAGGCAAGAUGACUUGGAGCGGAGCCUCAGGGCAUCCACAAUGGUCGUAGGGCAUCAAUAUAUGAGGGAUAACGUGGUGAGGAAACAAGACCUGUAGAGAUUAAGGAACUUUAGACCUGAUUUUAACCAGCUUUGAGACCUGGGCCUGAGUCUGUCUAAGGCUGAGGCUCUUGCCUCAUGUUGGAAAACAAGCUACAUUGGAAAACCUCCUGCAUAUCCUCCACAGCAUUUGUGAUCUCUUCCCUGAGCUCACAGAAGCACCCAGCAAAUGCUUACAAAUGACUGAAGGGCAAUGACUUGAGC